GACGAACGCUGGCGGCGUGCUUAACACAUGCAAGUCGAACGGGCCUUGUCCCCUUUUUUUUUGGGGGUGGGGUUAGUGGCGAACGGGUGAGUAACACGUGAGUAACCUGCCCCUCACUUCUGGAUAACCGCUUGAAAGGGUGGCUAAUACGGGGUGUUCUGGCCUGCUCGCAUGGGUGGGUUUGGAAAGAUUCGACCGGUUUUGGUUGUUUUGGUGGGGGAUGGGCUCGCGGCCUAUCAGCUUGUUGGUGGGGUGAUGGCCUGCCAAGGCUUUGACGGGUAGCCGGCCUGAGAGGGUGGGCGGUCACGCUGGGACUGAGACACGGCCCAGACUCCUACGGGAGGCAGCAGUGGGGAAUAUUGCACAAUGGGCGCAAGCCUGAUGCAGCGACGCCGCGUGAGGGAUGGAGGCCUUCGGGUUGUGAACCUCUUUCGCCAGUGAAGAAGGUCCUGCUCUUUGUGGUGGGGUUGACGGUAGCUGGGUUAAUGAAGCGCCGGCUAACUACGUG
RNAcentral lists this ribosomal RNA (508 nucleotides) under uncultured bacterium. RNAcentral's name for it is "partial 16S ribosomal RNA". It matches the Rfam family "Bacterial small subunit ribosomal RNA", at positions 28 to 507 of the family's 1533-position model. The record is from RNAcentral.